RNAcentral lists this ribosomal RNA (442 nucleotides) under uncultured bacterium. RNAcentral's name for it is "partial 16S ribosomal RNA". It matches the Rfam family "Bacterial small subunit ribosomal RNA", at positions 338 to 795 of the family's 1533-position model. The record is from RNAcentral.
CCUACGGGAGGCAGCAGUGGGGAAUAUUGGGCAAUGGGCGAAAGCCUGACCCAGCAACGCCGCGUGAAGGAAGAAGGCUUUCGGGUUGUAAACUUCUUUUGGCAGGGAAGAGCAGAUUUCGGUACCUAGAGAAUAAGCCACGGCUAACUACGUGCCAGCAGCCGCGGUAAUACGGAGGUGGCAAGCGUGGUCCGGAUUUACUGGGGGUAAAGGGCGUGUAGCCGGGCUGACAAGUCAGAUGUGAAAGCCGGGGGCUGAACCCGGGAACUGCAUUUGAAACUGUUGGUCUUGAGUAUCGGAGAGGCAGGCGGAAUUCCUAGUGUAGCGGUGAAAUGCGUAGAGAUGAGGAGGAACACCAGUGGCGAAGGCGGACUGCUGGACGUCAACUGACGCUGAGGCGCGAAAGCGUGGGGAGCAAACAGGAUUAGAUACCCUGGUAGUC